AGUUUCAGUCCAAAUGGAUCUUCCUAUUUAUGCGAUUGCUAUGAAACAAGGAGGACAAUUGAUUGUGAUUAUGUUCAAAGAAGGAAAGUUUCCUCUUCUAGACCUUUUGUGGUACAAGGCUGUACCUCUUUAAGUACCUCUAAGGAUAACCAGAAAGUGUAUAGCUAAACAUAACAGACGCACAAGUAACCUGGAGAGUCAUGUAUUAUAGAAAUGCAACCAUCUUCACACACCUCGUAAUCACAUUUUCACCUGCCCAUCUGGUGCAGACCUGGUCUUAUUAGUAAAUGUACUAAACACAAAAUCAUGUUUGUGUUUCAAAAACAUAUACUGAAGACAAUUUGCAAAAAUAAGUAAUGCUUAAUUUUUUUUGAAAUAAAAGCAGGGAAUACAUAUUUCAAGAUGUUCUUUUUUAAAAACUACAAUUAUUGAGGCAUAUAGGAAAAUAUCUUGGUAUACUUAGAUACUUUUAAAGGACUACCUAGCCUGAAACCCUUUAAAUUACUACUUUAUUGAAAAAAAAAUUUAAGGUAAAUUCUUCCUCUGGCAUGUCAUAAAAUGAACUAGAGGUUUAAAAGUACUCAUGCAGAUGUCUUUAUUUCAUUGUAAAUUGAUCGCAUAAUCAAAUUAAGCCUUUUAAAAUGUUCUCCAAAUGACACAGGCUUUUGUAAAAAAUCUGAUUGUUCUCACUCUACAUUGAACAUAAAAUUAAAUUACAAAUGAACAGAUUAAGUAUAGAAUUUAGAUCUAAUCAUCACAGAAAUAUUCUUAUCUGAAGCAAUUAUGACCAAUACUUAAUAAGUAAUUUAAAAAAUUAAGUGAGGAAUUAUUAUAGAUUUAUACAUACAUGAUGCCAACCUAAAUCCACUAAUUAAAUUUAAAGCAAAUAUAUAUUUUAUAUAGGGUCAAAGCUUUUCUUUGUAUGAGGGUCAAAGUUUGGAUUUCAUGCUAUCUUCCAUACACCAACUCGUAAUAUACAUAUAGACUUUUUCUUUUUAGUUUCUUUGAAGUAGAGUGCAAAUUCAGUGAUACACACACACAAAAAAACCCUAAGUUUAGAAACUUUUUGGAAUUUUUUUCAGUUUUUCACAGUUGCCCUGCCUAUACCUGAUUUGGAAAAAAUUUCUUUUAACCACUCAUUUAUCAAGUCUUUCUAAAGCAUUCACUUUUGGAUUUCAUAUACACAGUAUCUUCUUUUCUUUGAACAUUUUUAUGUCAUCAGUCCAUGUAAUAUUGAAUUAAGUUAUAUAUGUUGAUACAUAAGAAAUGAUGUAAAUAGUUUUGGAAAAAAAAAGGAAAAGUUUCCUUCAAAAGCACCCUACUCAACUGUUAGGCAUAAAAUAGUUAUAGGAAUACCAGAAAGUAGAAUUUAGCAUGAUGUUGAUAUCAGUAUUAGCUAAUCAUUGAGUCCACAUUUAAGUGAGGCUGUUUAAGAGGUGUUCUGAAUAUCUAUUUAUCAUUGUGUGUGUGUGUGUGUGUGUGUAUUCUUACACCUCAUAAGAUAGAGGCGAAAUAAUGAAGUGGAAGUUAAGAACCCAACAAUUUUUUUCCCACUUUUUAUGACAAGACCGAGUAUGGUUUUUGUUUGUUUUCUCUAUUUUGGAAAGAUUCAAUACUGCUUUUUAUUCUUUUUUAUCCCUAUGGCCUAGAACAUACAUGGUUCAUAUGUGGUGACAGUAUACUAGCUAUUGACCACAGGCAAGUUCUGUGUAUCAUCUUCAUCUAUAAAAUGUCAAUAAUAAAAUAACUUAUUUUAUGAAUUCUCUGGAUUAAUAAGUGGACCAACAGCAGAGACUAGUACCUGGCUCAUAGUAAGUACUCAAUAGUUGGUAUCUACACUAUCAAUGAAAAAUUACUGUCAUCAAAUCAUUAUUCUCUUUCAGUAUUUACCCAUUGAAAAUAAGAUCUAGUGAAAAAUGGAAAAGAAAAACAAGAAUUGGGAAUCUUACAUACUAUUUAAUUGUUCAAAACUGUUACUACUUGUUCGUGUACUGUACUACUUGUUAAGAACAUUUAAGUAAAACAUACAUUCAUUCAACAUUCAUUAAUAAUCUUAAAUCUUAGUUAAAUUGCCAAAAUUCCACUAUUAUAAAAAUGUACAAUUCCUUGUUAACCCUUUCAUCUUGUUUUUCCUAUUUAUUAAUGUUUUAAGCUAUUUUUAAUGAAAUAUUGUAUGGAAAAAAAGUGAGGCUGUUAUGUGUGGACUUGUGUUCUGAAAUAGGUACUCCACAAAAAAUUAAAAGCUAACACGGCCAUUUUGAAUAAAAAUAAAUACCUAUACGAAACAUCUUUCCAAAAUUUUUUCCCUGAAAGCCUUUUUUGGACAUAUGGAGAAAAAUAAAUAUUACAAAGGACCCAAAUCUAUUCCUUCCACAUAUGUUACUUUCACUGGUAAUAUGAGUUACAAGAAGACAAGUCCUACUAUUUACUAACAAGAACUUCUUGAACAAUUGUCUUCAGUAAGCACUGAUUUUUUUCCCCCUCCUUUUAAUCCAGGAAAAGUUGUGCUUUCUUUUUUUUCACCCCUUCAAUGGGCUAUGCAAAAAGUUUAUUCCUUAACUGCAAAAGAAGCUCUAAGUUAAAAAAAAAAAAAAAGGUUUUUUUGAUGUAUAGCUCACUUAACUAGAACAGAGUGAAUACACAUAACAUAAUCAGCCAUUCUAUUUAGAUUUUUAACAAUCCUCUUUUUUGGAAAAACCCAUAGCCAUUUCUUUUGUCUACUUAGUAAUAUCACACUUGAUGAUACUUAGAUGAUCUAUCAACACUGCGUUGGUGGCUGAGUGGUUUCAGGUUGUAAUACACCUUAAGUGAAAUUCAUCUGCCAUUUCCUCUCUUCAUCAAUAAUGUGAAUUACAUCAUAGAUGUUUUAAGGAAACCAUUUUUUUAUGCUUGGUCAUAAACUAGACUGUAACAAUGAUUAGAAUUGAAUAUAAGCAUUAAGAAGUCCCAAGAAACAACAGAGAGGAAGUAUUUAUUUAUGUAGUUUAGAACAUUAACACAAUAUUCCACUGUCAUAGACCAAUGCUGGGCCUGAUGUGGCCCUUUUUCUGUUGUUUAUUUUUCUAUAUCGUCUGAGUAUCUUAACAUUAAUACAAGUAUUAAUUGGAAAACCCCAAAAAGCUAGAUCGAUACAUACCUAAAGACUUCACAUUUCCUAAAGCAGAAUUACUUUUGAUUGAUAAAUCCAUUUCAUCCAGUGUAAAUUAAGGGCUUUAGCUUGGGAGAACUAUGGGGCAUUUUAGAACUAUUCUACUAGUUUGGUGCCUAGGAGUUAGAAAGUUAUCUUUCAGUCUAGCUAGUGGUUACUGUGACUGCUUCAUGAUUUGAGAAAGGGAACUAUUACUGUAAUUCCACCCCUUUAGUACAGAAAAAAUACUGAGACACAUCUUGAAUACAUUCAGGUAAUUUUAGUAAUCAGUGUGCGUUUGGAGAAAUGCCUGCUGGUAGGAAUGUCCAGAAAAAAAGCCAUUCCAAUGUCUACAGAAAAGCUCUCAAAACAUAUGCCUUCACUUAUAAGUUUAGCUGUUAUUUUUAUGAAAUAAAGUGAAUUUUAACUUCGGUGCUCUGAAAGUCCAGUGUAUCUAGCUUGGCCAUGCUGAGAAUUACAGUCAGGUGACAGCAAACACUUUAGUUGACACUCUUUUAGUUGAAGGUUCUCUACAACCUAUUUAUCUUGUCUUCAUAGGUUGUGCGUAAAACCUGAUGUUCUCAAUCACUGUAAAUAACUGCACAUGUCAAUAUGAAAUCUUCCUGGAUCAGGCUGACACUCCUCUACUAUGUGUGGUUAGAAAACACAUGCUUGACCUCUAUGAGCUUCAUUCCUUCACUGUGGUUUAUAUAAAAACCUAAAAUUGAGAGGUUUCUGAAGCAGCCAUCAAUUUUGCAUUGUGAAUUUAUGAGGAGCUUCUCUCCAGGUAAAAUAAAAUGGUAGCCUAGGGCGUCUAUCAAAUGCUUUACACUAUGGGCAUUUAUAGAAUGAAAUCAAAUCUUUUUCUAUAAAGGCAUGCCUUAUUUAAUUUUCCAAAGAAUAGACAGUAGGGGAAAAAUUUUCUCUCUGAGUGUUUUGAAGCUUUUUUUCAUAAUGGGAUAAGGUAUACCCAGGCAGGUUAUAUUUAAUUCUGCUUGGAGGCAGAAGGAAGGAGUGGAUGACUUUUCAAGGGGCCUUUAUGGCUUUGUUUACUUACAAAUAAAUCUAGAUGAUAGCAUAUAACAGAAGUAUGCUUCAAAUAUGUGUGAUUCCUGAAUGACGCCAGGAAAAGAGACAGCUAUUUUGGAAUACCCAAACUCUUUUUCAAAUUUUACUUAUGCAGGUGGGUUACAUUCCCCUACUAUGCACUUAGCAGUAUUUAAAAAAAAAAAAAAAUCUCUAAAACACAUAGGCCUUUUUGCCUGAGUUAAAUUUGUUUCUUUAGCUGGUAAAGCUUUUCCUUUCCAUAUGGUCAGGAUAGCUAAUUUAGUUUGUCUCUGAGGUGGCCAACAUUAUAGUGUGGUAUCAUAGGAUAUAAAAAUAAAAGAAGGUAUGAAAACCUUAUUCUAAAAAUGAAAUAAAAACAGAUGGGACAUACGUUUCUAACGUAUUUAAUUUGCAUCGUCUUUUUCUCCUUUUAAAGUUCUUGUGGACCAAUCUUGCAAAAAGGCAAAACAAACCCUAAACACUCCAGUUCCAUGCCAGCAAGCUGCCAGGCUGAUCUUUUUAUCUCCAUCAACUCCAUGAAAAAUCAACGAAAAGAAAAAAAAAAAUCAAAACCUGUGCAUUUAAAUGUUCUGAAAAAUUUUAAAAUAAAAUUCUAAAAUAAAAUUCGUGGAGUAUUUUCACUUACAUACUGUGAAACUAUUUCCAAGUGAAAGCAUAGUCAUCUGCAAGGUUGAAUUACCCCAGGGAAACUAAUGAUGACUUUUUUCUGUCUCAUGGGGAUUACAAAGACUUUCCAAAGGUGACUCCAGAAGAGCAUGCAUGUGGCUGUCAAUUUUAGUUUCCUCUCCAAUCAAUAGCUUUUCCUUUCUUUAAUGCUGCCGUAAAAAUUUCAUCAUUUACUCUAAGACACAAUCUCGUAAGUCUUGCUCCUAGAAUCCUGAUUUCAUCAGAUUUGUUCAAUGUAACUUGUUUAGAAACUUACUGCAUAAUACCCCAGUGGUCUUGUACCAGCUACCAUAUGUGAGUAAGACUAGGGCUGUGUGAUGUCAAAGCAAAUGAAUUAGGAGGCAAAAUAAUUUAGACACAUAAUUACUGGUUUUGUCUGGAUAACUGGCUUAACUAUUUUUUUUCUCCACAGCUUCCUGAAUCAACUUUUUAAAUAAAAAAAAAAAAUACUGGAUGAACACACUGGAAAAUUGCUUGAGAACUGCAAGAAUUUGGCUCAAAGUAGAAUAUGUGACAAAUUAUUUUGUAUACUUUUCAUGUUUGGCACAAUUACUUUUUAAAAAAGCAUUUCCAAGAGAGAAGGUUUAGAUCUGCCAUAGGGGUAUAGCUGUUAUUAUUAGCAAGAGAGCAUUUGCAAAUAUAAUUCUUUUUCAACAAUGAAUUAUUUUAAUUUUAUUACUAACCUCAGGAAUACUUCCUUCAUUGAUAGCUAUCCAUAAUUUUAAUUAAAGAUAUAUUCAAGUAAAAGUAUUGACACAUUACUCUUAUCUGAAUAAGCCAAGAUACCUGUUGGAGUAAAAUGUUUUAUUAUCUUUAAUUUUACAGAAGAAUAUAAA
RNAcentral lists this long non-coding RNA (5697 nucleotides) under Sus scrofa (pig). RNAcentral's name for it is "lncRNA (ENSSSCG00030040048.1)". The record is from RNAcentral. Lineage: Eukaryota; Metazoa; Chordata; Mammalia; Artiodactyla; Suidae.